Non-coding RNA from Drosophila melanogaster (fruit fly), 811 nucleotides. The record is from Ensembl. Lineage: Eukaryota; Metazoa; Arthropoda; Insecta; Diptera; Drosophilidae.
CUAAGGCUGGCGACGGUCAACAAUGCCGCAAUGCAAACAAUGUCACUUCAAAAUGUCACACAAAUCAACGGACGACCUCCACCCACCAAAGGAUGGGCGAUGUGCCAUCGAUCAAAGCGCAUUCGCUUUGGGCCCAAAGCCAGAAACGCAUUUGGUAGUUGGUACGUAUAUGUAGAUGCAUACACGCAAACGAAGUGGAGGGAGCGUUUCAGGGAAUAUAACUAAAAAUAAUACAAAACAAUAAAGGCAAACUGGAGUGGUAAAAAGGUAAGGCCAAAAGCAAUAAGAAAGCGAAGGGCUAAAACGAAGGCGGUGGCGAAAACCUGCGAGAUGCCUUCACUCCUUGGCGCCAACAAGGACGUCGCCAGGACCCAUCCAGGAAUCACACACAUAUACAUAUGUACUACACAUAUACGCACGCACGCCAGUAUGCGUAUGUUUGUGUGCGGUGAGUUAAUAAUUUAUAUAUUUAUGCCGCUGAAUCGUAAAACGAAGUUGAAAAACCAAAGCCAAAACCAACAAAGGAAUAAUACAAUAAAAAAUACACAUAAUAAAAGAGCUGCGAAUGGUGGAAGGAGCCGUGGCACACCAAUCCCUCCAUAAGCCACAACCCCAUUUCAACCAUUCUACCCUCUCUCUUCACUUUUCACUUUUCUUCUGAAAAACAUAAGCAUAAGAAAUUGGCGACAGAAACCGAAUCGAGUUUUCUUCACUCAGGAGUUUCCCACACCUCUGUGCCGGAAUUUCAAGGUUUCAAUGAAAGCAUAAAAACCGCAAUGGAAUGUGACUUUUUUAAAUCCAUUAUUAAGUC